AUUCAGAUAGCUUAAAUAAAAAGCACAAUAUUGAAGAUAUUGAGAUACCCGAAGUUUUGAAUA
RNAcentral lists this transfer RNA (63 nucleotides) under Crenidorsum turpiniae. RNAcentral describes it as "tRNA-Phe". The record is from RNAcentral. Lineage: Eukaryota; Metazoa; Arthropoda; Insecta; Hemiptera; Aleyrodidae.